RNAcentral lists this ribosomal RNA (459 nucleotides) under Triticum aestivum (bread wheat). RNAcentral describes it as "partial small subunit ribosomal RNA". Lineage: Eukaryota; Viridiplantae; Streptophyta; Magnoliopsida; Poales; Poaceae. The record is from RNAcentral.
AUGAUAUCUAGCGAGGGAAAGUACCACCGUAGAGGUCCUUACUUUGGUGGUACUAAUUUUGCUAGUUCGAAGCAUAAGAUGAAAAUGCAUAUUCUUGGAUAUAACCCCGCCGUUUGGACUAUUGUGUGUAUUGGCUUGCAAGGUGAAUUCUUUGAUGGGAUAGAACCGAACCAUGAAGCUACCGCGGGAGAGUUGAAGAUGCUGCAAUACAAUGCUCAAGCUUGUGAUAUCCUCUUCAACAGAUUGUGCCCCAAAGAAUUCAACAAAAUCCGCCGUCUUGAGAAUGCAAAGGAAAUUUGGGAUACUUUGAUUGACAUGCACGAAGGUACCGACUCCGUCAAGGAAUCCAAAUUGGAUGUGCUUCAAAGUCAACUUGACAAGUUCAAAAUGAAGGAUGGUGAAGGCGUCGCCGAGAUGUACUCUAGCUUGCUCUCAACACAAAUGAGAUUGCCGACUUAG